This 467-nucleotide ribosomal RNA is filed under the name uncultured bacterium. Its description in RNAcentral is "partial 16S ribosomal RNA". It matches the Rfam family "Bacterial small subunit ribosomal RNA", at positions 28 to 507 of the family's 1533-position model. The record is from RNAcentral.
GACGAACGCUGGCGGCGUGCUUAACACAUGCAAGUCGAACGGAAAGGCCCUGCUUUUGUGGGGUGCUCGAGUGGCGAACGGGUGAGUAACACGUGAGUAACCUGCCCUUGUCUUUGGGAUAACUUCAGGAAACUGGGGCUAAUACCGGAUAGGAGCUCCUGCUGCAUGGUGGGGGUUGGAAAGUUUCGGCGGUUGGGGAUGGACUCGCGGCUUAUCAGCUUGUUGGUGGGGUAGUGGCUUACCAAGGCUUGGACGGGUAGCCGGCCUGGGAGGGAGACAGGCCCCAGAGGGAUACGGAAGGGACCAGUAGUCAAACGGGCGGAAGGGGGGGGAAACUUACGGCAAAGGGCGGAGGCAGGGAGGAGGAACGCCGGUUCGGGAAACACGGCUUUCGGGUUGUAACCCAUUUGUGCGUAUAACGGAGCGUCUUGACGGUAACUGGUCAAGAAGCACCGGCUAACUACGUG